GCUUGCAUUGGCAGAGUAUAUACUAAAAUUGAAAUGAUACAGGGAAGAUUAGAAUAGCCUCUUUGUAAGGAAGGCAUUCAGAUUUCUGAAGUGUCCUUUAUUUAU
Naja naja (Indian cobra) is the source of this 105-nucleotide small nuclear RNA. The record is from Ensembl. NCBI's taxonomy places the organism in Eukaryota, Metazoa, Chordata, Lepidosauria, Squamata, Elapidae.